Ailuropoda melanoleuca (giant panda) is the source of this 2352-nucleotide long non-coding RNA. RefSeq lists it as uncharacterized. The transcript is spliced from 4 exons. NCBI's taxonomy places the organism in Eukaryota, Metazoa, Chordata, Mammalia, Carnivora, Ursidae. The record is from RefSeq and is a predicted model, not a curated record.
AACCCUACUCAUGAGACCCUUCAGAUCUAUAUUGGAGGACCUUGUGCUUGGGGAUGAUUGCCAACAUGUACCUUGUGGGGCAGAGAUAAAGUCUCCAGGGGAAUUUUUGUAUGUUACAUAGACUGCCUUUCGCCCUUAGCAAAGAAUUAACAUCGAGGCAGCUGAGCUCCUAGAGGAAGUCACUCUGCCUGUUUCAAGGACUUGUUAGUGUGCUGUAGGUAGUAAGGAAAUUUAAGUUUUCUUCUGCCUUUGUUUCCCACGUCAUAACCCACCCGGAGUUGGGAAGCUAACCCACUCUGGGAGAGAUAACUUGUAAGCCGUUAGCUGCUGACACUUCGCAGGGGUCCCAGUGUGAGUGGGCAGGGACGUCACUCCUGUGGCUCCCGGGGCUCCUGAAGAGGGUGGGGUCCCUGCACAGGAUGAAAGUAUCUCUGAAGAUCAGUAGCUUUGGGUUUAGAAAAUUCUGGCUCCGGAGGGGGCGGGUAAUUGAUCUGGCUUGUUCUUUUGUUCUUCUUGGUUGAGAUCCCAAUGUGGAUCCUCCGUGUCCGGACCACCAGGGCUUGGUCCUCGCUGGGCCAGGGGUCGCCUGCAGAGCCCAGGGGUCGCCUGCGGAGCCCCAGCCCCGUCUCGUCUCCACCCAUGUAAGCCGCACACGCUGCUGGAGGUGGCCUGGGGGCUUCGAGGUUCCUGCAGAGCCCUGCUGGCAGCCACCAGCCUCCGCCCCUCUGGGGGGUUCCAGUUCCCGCAGCUCUUUAGAAAGGACUGGAAGGAGGGGGUGGAGAGACUCUGAGCCUUGAAAUCCGAUCUGUGGUUGUUUUUCCUCUAAAACCGAAUGGAUCCCCGCCCAGCAUCUGCCCUGGGCGCCCUUCCAGUCCCGCAGUGACCCGGGAGGAGCGGCUGCGGGGUGGGGCUGGGUGCGCACCUCCAGGACCUGGUCUGGAGCCAGCCCUGGCCUCGUGACCUUCCCCCCUGGCCCCCACCGGCUCCUGUCAUGCAGCCAUGUGAGCCCGGCCACGGCCAUGGCUGAGCCCCUGUCUUCGGUUUCCCAGUUCACUUCCCGUGGAUUCCCACUGGGCUGAGCACACAGGGCGGCUCUGAUAAAUGCGGCUGACAGGGCACGGGGCGGGGUGGGGAGGCUGUUUUAAACCCAGCGUUAUGAGGCGAGUGUCGGAAUCUGCAUCCGGAUCCCGAAUUUCACUGAUGCCUGCUAAGGAGCCCGGGUGUGCACCGCCAUCCGCCUGAUCCCUGGCCCCGUUGCCACGGGUCACAUCCCUUGGAACAAAGACACAAGGCCCAGGCAACCACCGUUCUACCUUCUGUUUCUAGAAAUCUACUUCAGAGACCUCACUCGUAUGAGCGGAAUCCACUGUGUUUGCCUUUUUGUGGCAGGCUUCUAUACCGGAGCACGAUGUCCUCGUGUUUCUCCCCGGUUCCCACACACGUAACAACACGUGACAAGACAGGACUGUCUUCCUUUCGAGGCCGGAGGAAGAUUCCGUUGUGUGUAGAUAGUACACUGUGGCUGUCAAUCCACUGAUGGACACGUGGCUUGUUUCUACCUCUUGGCUACUGUGGAUAAUGCUGCUCUGAAUAUGGGUGUGCGGAUACCUCUCUGAGAUCACGCUCCAGUUCUUUUGGAUGUUGUCACUGUGUCCCUGCCUGCUGAAGGUGGAUGGUGGGCCCCCAGAGGAUGGGAGCGAUCACCAUCACCCGUGAGGGCUCAGAAAGUGCAUCAGAGAGCGGGAAGAGUAGAGUGGACGUGGACGCAGAGGUGUGGAGAGACGCUUCCGAUACCUUCCAGCUCCUGAUUUCGUCAAGUUCCUGCGGCCUCGGCUUUGGUGACUUGUCCUUUCCUGCACGAGCUGGCUCGAGGUGGCUUCAGCCACUUUUAACCAGCCAUUCUCACCUUCAAUGUGAACAAAAACUUUCUGUUAUGGGCAGAAGCCGCUGCCUCGAGCUGAUUAGGUCUGGGAGUGACGGUCAAAUGGGCUGAGAGGAGGGCUCACCUGGGGCGCUCCCCUGCCCCCACCCACCUCUCCUCCCAGGCCAAGGCCCUGGAAUGAAAACUGAUCGGGAUACCCACAGAGAGGGUCCUUCCCCUAAAUCUACUCUUUGUACUGAAUCAGACUGUCUGAGCCACGCACACUUUCCCCCUUGCUCUCAGCCCUAGGAGGGAGCAAACACUGGGAAAAGCAAAAGAAGGACAACGAUGAACUCCCUUCAAAACUGUGGGUCCGGGGCACCUGGGGGGCUCAGUCGGUGAAGGUGAGGCAUCUGCCUUUGGCUCAGGUAGUGAUCCUGGGGUCCUGAGUUGUGCUCCCUGCUCAGUGGGGAGUCUGUUUCUCCCUCUCU